AUGAACGCUGGCGGCGUGCCUAAUACAUGCAAGUCGAGCGAACAGACGAGGAGCUUGCUCCUCUGACGUUAGCGGCGGACGGGUGAGUAACACGUGGAUAACCUACCUAUAAGACUGGGAUAACUUCGGGAAACCGGAGCUAAUACCGGAUAAUAUAUUGAACCGCAUGGUCCAAUAGUGAAAGACGGUUUUGCUGUCACUUAUAGAUGGAUCCGCGCCGCAUUAGCUAGUUGGUAAGGUAACGGCUUACCAAGGCAACGAUGCGUAGCCGACCUGAGAGGGUGAUCGGCCACACUGGAACUGAGACACGGUCCAGACUCCUACGGGAGGCAGCAGUAGGGAAUCUUCCGCAAUGGGCGAAAGCCUGACGGAGCAACGCCGCGUGAGUGAUGAAGGUCUUCGGAUCGUAAAACUCUGUUAUUAGGGAAGAACAAAUGUGUAAGUAACUAUGCACGUCUUGACGGUACCUAAUCAGAAAGCCACGGCUAACUACGUG
Molecule: ribosomal RNA, 496 nt
Filed under: uncultured bacterium
Lineage: Bacteria
Description: partial 16S ribosomal RNA
Rfam family: Bacterial small subunit ribosomal RNA
Source: RNAcentral